Molecule: ribosomal RNA, 403 nt
Filed under: uncultured bacterium
Lineage: Bacteria
Description: partial 16S ribosomal RNA
Rfam family: Bacterial small subunit ribosomal RNA
Source: RNAcentral
GACGAACGCUGGCGGCGUGCCUAAUACAUGCAAGUCGAACGAAGUGGGGACGGGUGAGUAACACGUGGGUAACCUCCCAUCAGAGGGGAUAAAACUUGGAAACAGGUGCUAAACCGAUACUGAUGGAUGGAACCGCGGUGGAUUAGCUAGUUGGUGAGGGAACGGCUCACCAAGGCCACGAUGCAUAGCCGUCCUGAGUGUUUGAUCGGCAACUCUGGGACUGAGACCCGGCCCAGACUCCUACGUGCGGCAGCAGUAGUGAAUCUUCGGCAAUGGACGAAGUUCUAACCUAGCAACGCCGCUUGAGUGAUGAAGGUUUUCGGAUCGUAAAACUCUGUUGUUAGGGAAGCGGUAUCUAACCAGAAAGCCACGGCUAACUACGUGCCGGCAGCCGCGGUAAUAC